RNAcentral lists this ribosomal RNA (253 nucleotides) under uncultured bacterium. Its description in RNAcentral is "partial 16S ribosomal RNA". It matches the Rfam family "Bacterial small subunit ribosomal RNA", at positions 524 to 776 of the family's 1533-position model. The record is from RNAcentral.
UACGGGGGGGGCAAGCGUUGUUCGGAAUUACUGGGCGUAAAGGGCUCGUAGGUGGCCAACUAAGUCAGACGUGAAAUCCCUCGGCUUAACCGGGGAACUGCGUCUGAUACUGGAUGGCUUGAGUGUGGGAGAGGGAUGCGGAAUUCCAGGUGUAGCGGUGAAAUGCGUAGAUAUCUGGAGGAACACCGGUGGCGAAGGCGGCAUCCUGGACCAACACUGACACUGAGGAGCGAAAGCCAGGGGAGCAAACGGG